This 446-nucleotide ribosomal RNA is filed under the name uncultured bacterium. Its description in RNAcentral is "partial 16S ribosomal RNA". It matches the Rfam family "Bacterial small subunit ribosomal RNA", at positions 331 to 792 of the family's 1533-position model. The record is from RNAcentral.
CCAGACUCCUACGGGAGGCAGCAGUGGGGGAUAUUGCACAAUGGGGGAAACCCUGAUGCAGCGACGCCGCGUGGGCGAAGAAGUAUUUCGGUAUGUAAAGCCCUAUCAGCAGGGAAGAAGAAAUGACGGUACCUGAGUAAGAAGCACCGGCUAAAUACGUGCCAGCAGCCGCGGUAAUACGUAUGGUGCAAGCGUUAUCCGGAUUUACUGGGUGUAAAGGGAGCGCAGGCGGCACGGCAAGCCUGAUGUGAAACCCCGGGGCUCAACCCCGGGCAUGCAUUGGAAACUGGCGGGCUGGAGUGCCGGAGAGGUAAGCGGAAUUCCUAGUGUAGCGGUGAAAUGCGUAGAUACUAGGAGGAACACCAGUGGCGAAGGCGGCUUACUGGACUGUAACUGACGUUGAGGCUCGAAAGCGUGGGGAGCAAACAGGAUUAGAUACCCUAGUA